RNAcentral lists this small RNA (131 nucleotides) under Escherichia coli. RNAcentral describes it as "RtT sRNA". It matches the Rfam family "RtT RNA". Rfam says of the family: This family represents a bacterial cis-regulatory element known as RtT RNA. The exact function of RtT is unknown although it is thought that it may be involved in changing the cellular response in relation to amino acid starvation. The record is from RNAcentral. Lineage: Bacteria; Pseudomonadati; Pseudomonadota; Gammaproteobacteria; Enterobacterales; Enterobacteriaceae.
AUUUGUAGCUCAUGAGGAUGAGAACCUCCGGGGGCGGGGAGGUUCGACUCGAGCGAAGCGAGAGAACGUUGCGCCAGCAACGGCCCGCAGGGCGAGCCACGAAGUGGCGAGUAAUCCUCUGGCACCGACCA